This 289-nucleotide long non-coding RNA is filed under the name Elaeis guineensis (African oil palm). RNAcentral's name for it is "long non-coding RNA (EGUI_LNC037523)". Lineage: Eukaryota; Viridiplantae; Streptophyta; Magnoliopsida; Arecales; Arecaceae. The record is from RNAcentral.
CCCUUGUUCUUAAAGGAGCGCUCAACGGGACUGCCUCCGGGCAUCUUUUCCGGCAUCCUCUCCUCCCUCCUCUACUUGGUCUUUGCCCGAUGCCUCCCCGCAAGGCAUCCAUGCGAUGAUCCACGACCUCCGCGGCCAGAUCUCAGGCUCCGAUCUCACCUCCAGUUUCCCAGCCUCCUCCUCCGACGACGACGAUGGUCGGUGUGGAGCAAUUUGAUCUGCUGGCGCAGCAGAUCAGAGGCCUCACUGAGGCCGUACAGGCCAUGCAGUAGCAGCAGCAGCCGCAAGC